GCACUUGAAUGAUGGGAGAAACAUGAAUGUGGUGACUCCAUGUCAAAUAUUGACAAAGCUUAGGAAGCAAGUCUCAAGCAUGGAUUACAACCUCUAAGUGUCCCAACUCAAUCAAAAUCCUAAACAUUUUAUCUUGUCAAAAGAGUUUUU
Molecule: long non-coding RNA, 150 nt
Organism: Hibiscus syriacus
Lineage: Eukaryota; Viridiplantae; Streptophyta; Magnoliopsida; Malvales; Malvaceae
Exons: 3
Source: RefSeq, a predicted model, not a curated record